This 72-nucleotide microRNA precursor is filed under the name Physcomitrium patens. RNAcentral describes it as "Physcomitrella patens miR11320 stem-loop (ppt-MIR11320)". The record is from miRBase by way of RNAcentral. Lineage: Eukaryota; Viridiplantae; Streptophyta; Bryopsida; Funariales; Funariaceae.
GAGUUUCACAUCGAACGAGUGUCUGUAGUUCGUAUAUCAACGGGUACCAGCCACUCGUUCAUUGUGAAACUC